GUGGGGAAUUUUGGACAAUGGGCGCAAGCCUGAUCCAGCAAUGCCGCGUGCAGGAAGAAGGCCUUCGGGUUGUAAACUGCUUUUGUACGGAACGAAACGGUCCGGGUUAAUACCCUGGGCUAAUGACGGUACCGUAAGAAUAAGCACCGGCUAACUACGUGCCAGCAGCCGCGGUAAUACGUAGGGUGCAAGCGUUAAUCGGAAUUACUGGGCGUAAAGCGUGCGCAGGCGGUUUUGUAAGACAGGCGUGAAAUCCCCGGGCUCAACCUGGGAAUUGCGAUUGUGACUGCAGUGCUGGAGUGCGGCAGAGGGGGAUGGAAUUCCGCGUGUAGCAGUGAAAUGCGUAGAUAUGCGGAGGAACACCGAUGGCGAAGGCAAUCCCCUGGGCCUGCACUGACGCUCAUGCACGAAAGCGUGGGGAGCAAACAGGAUUAGAAACCCCGGUAGUCC
This 450-nucleotide ribosomal RNA is filed under the name uncultured bacterium. Its description in RNAcentral is "bacterial SSU rRNA". It matches the Rfam family "Bacterial small subunit ribosomal RNA", at positions 354 to 796 of the family's 1533-position model. The record is from RNAcentral.